UUGGGUCAAAUUAAUUUUAUUAUGCUCCAUGAUGAAUUGCCACCAGUGCAACAUCCUAUUCACUGUACAUUUCAAAAAUUCACAUACUAAAAAAUUCAGUUCGAUAAAUGGAAAACUGAAUGAUUGAGAAGUUCUUACGGAUUUCAUACGUACAAGUGGCUAGCCAAUAUUGUCUAUGCACAUAGAGUGUUGAUACAAAAGCCUCAUGCUAGCUUGUUAAUUGCUAAGGCUAUCUGGACAGCCAUUUAACCAGAAUAUAUAAGAGGCCUUCAUUACAAUGUUUAGCAACGGUGCACCAGUAUCAUGAAAUGCUAUCUUCUGCUCAUAGUGCAAGUGGCGGAGUGCUGAAGCAUGCAGUUAUGAGUAACUUAACUGCCAUUGCAGUCUUUAUGCCUGAAAUUUAUCAUGUACAAACACUACUUUAAAGUAAAUAUUAACCUGGACACCACACAAUGUGAGUGUACUUUUUGUAUGAAUAAAGAGAAAUAGAAAAACCAAAAGCUAUCUUUGGCCAGUAUCUACAAAUCAAAGUUUUAUUCAAUAAUGUAACUUCAGAGCUCCCAAAACCUGGAACAGAAAUUGGAUUAAUGAACUGUGAUGCUUAACUAUCAGCUAUAUUACAGAAAUUCCAAUUCUGGGAACAUAACAGCUAAACAUAUCUAGUAAGUAACAUGUUAGGAAAACCUCUAGGCCUCGUCUGCUUAAUUUUAAAAUGCCCUAUAUGCAGUAAAAAUACGGGAGCAGUGCCAGAAGUUAUAUGAAAGCCAUACAAAUAUUUUCCUUAUACGUAAGUUCUUAACUCCCCUGCCAUUAGCUACCCCAGGCUGCACUUGCACUCGAUCCAAUGCUCACGCCAUUACAGCCGCAAAGCUAGUAGGAAGUGUUCCCAGCAGCAGAGGGCGACGCGAAAGUUACUGCAAGAAAGUGAGACCACUUGGAAAUUUCUUCCUCAAGUUAUGUGCUUAAAUUACUUUCGGAAGGAAGUUAGCAUCCUCUGAAUAAUUUAACUACAACCUUACCUCUCCCACUACUUUUCAGCAACUUUCCUUUCCUCUCAUAUGACUAAAUUAAUUCACUAAAGACUAGGUUAUAACUGGGUUAGAAAUCCAAGCCGUAUCAUGCAGGUCCAGCCUGCCAAGAUCAGGUCAACACUGGGUUUCAGUCAACAAAAUUCCGAUAACUUAAAUUUAGUUUGAUACCUUGACUACAGUCAAAGACCCAGGACACUAUGCAUUAACUAUGCUCCAAGUAUGACUGACUUAACUAAACAUUCUGUGUCAGAUAAUGUGGUUUUUAAAAAAAUUUUCUACCUGAAAAUUACAGUAAGUACAGUAUUAAUGCUGCAGAUAUUAAAUACCUACAUAGCAUAGAUUAGUAUUCUGUAAUAGGCAGAUAUGCCAAAGUUUACUGCACUACGAAGUACAACUUAUAUAAAUGUGCAAGCUGUGAAAUGAGAAUCCCACUUUCCGUCCACUUAUUCAAAUAUUAUUCUU
RNAcentral lists this long non-coding RNA (1493 nucleotides) under Strigops habroptila (Kakapo). RNAcentral's name for it is "lncRNA (ENSSHBG00005001919.1)". The record is from RNAcentral. Lineage: Eukaryota; Metazoa; Chordata; Aves; Psittaciformes; Psittacidae.